Molecule: long non-coding RNA, 1850 nt
Organism: Daktulosphaira vitifoliae (grape phylloxera)
Lineage: Eukaryota; Metazoa; Arthropoda; Insecta; Hemiptera; Phylloxeridae
Exons: 3
Source: RefSeq, a predicted model, not a curated record
ACAAAAAAUAGCACUAAAAACCUAAAAUACUUCAAAUAUGCCAAAAAUAGCAAAAUAAAAUUUCAUAUUUUAAGUCUCUGGUGCAUAAAACAAAUUUAUAGCCCACUCUGCUAUUUUUAUCUGUAUCCUAUAAUAAGUAGCAAAUGCUAUAAAAUCCGAACCCUGAUUAUUAUUAUUACAGGUGCUAGCUGAUGUAUUUGAAAAUUUCCGUAAGGAAAGCUUGAAAAAUUAUAAACUAGACCCUGCACACUACUUUUCAUCUCCGGCCCUUUCGUUUGACGCCAUAUUAAAGUACACAAACGCACACAUUCAGUUGUUAUCGGAUCCAGAUAUGCUGUUAAUGUUUGAACAUUGAAUAAAAAAAAUUAAUAAAAUAUAUCAAACUAAAAGUAAUUAUUAAAUAUAGGUUAAUCAGAGAUAUGCACGUGCAAACCACCCAGGCUUAGUCGAUUACAAACCCAAUGAAGCACACAAGUAUCUUCAAUAUUUAGACGCUACUAAUUUAUAUGGAACGGCAAUGAUGGAACCCAUUCCGUUUGGCUAUUUUGAGUGGUUACUGUUACAUUGGAAGAGAUACUCAACACACCCGACGACGGUAAAUACGGUUAUCUUGCAGAGGUCGAUGUAGAUUAUCCCCGAGAACUACACGAUUUACACAACGAUUUACCGUUUUUUCCUGUAAACGAAAAACCGCCAUUAAUGUCUUCUAAAUGUAGUAAACUGAUGACUACACUAGAUCCCAAACGUGGUUACAUUGUACAUUACCGAGCUCUAAAACAAGCUGUAAAACAUGGCGUGGUAGUUACCAAAUUGCAUAAAUGUAUCAGAUUUAUGCAAUAUCGUUGGUUGGCUCCUUAAAAACAGCUUAAUACGGAUUUGCGCAAAAAAGCGACCACCACGUUUGGACAAAACUUAUCCAAAACGAUGAUCAACUCAAACUACGGAAAAACUUUGGAGAAUGUUAGAAAACACCAAAAUAUCAAACUCGUAUGUAACCCGGAGAAAUUGUUAAAGUUGGCUGCAAAACCGUCGUAUAGCCACAGCACCAUAUUCAGCGAAGAUUUAGUUGCUAUUCACAUGUACAAGGAGAGGAUUAAUUUUUAUAAACCAAUUUUUAUCGGGCAGGCAAUAUUGGAUAUCAGUAAAACUAUAAUGUACAAAUUCCAUUAUGAAGUUAUGUUACCGUUAUAUGGACCGGAAAGGCUCAUGUUAUGUUACAUGGACACCGAUUCUUUUAUCUACCUAAUUAUGACUAAUAGUUUUCACGAUGAUUGAAAAAUUACCUGCUCGAAUAUUUCGAUACAUCCAAUUAUCUAACCGACCACCCGUGUUACACCGAUAAACGUAAAAAACAACCGGGUACGUUUACUGACGAAUGCAAGGGCAUGCACAUGCAAGAAAUUAUCGCAUUAUUGCCCAAAGUCUAUGCAUAUUUGACAACUUUGCAAAACUACAGUGAUAAAGUGUUUACGAGAGACGUCGAUGAAGUGAAACGAUUGAAAGGUGUGGGUCAAGAUGUAGUCAAACACGAAAUCAAGAUGGUUGAUUAUUUAAAUUGUUUGCGGGACAGGCUCAAACAAAUACGAAAGAAAAUGUCGUUAAUACGUUCUAAAAAUCACCGCGUUUCAACGGUAGAAAUUGAUAAGCUCGUGUUGUCCAACAACUAUGACAAGCGUGCGAUGGUCGGUGACUAAUGUGAAUACAAAGAUAUGUACACAAAAGCGUGGGGACAUUAUUCCCUACAAAACUCGAAUGUCAACGAAUAAUAUUUUAUUUAUAUAUCAAUGUAUGAUAAUGCAUAAUAGAGUAGUCAUAUAAAUAAUAUGUAUUUAAAUUUUAUUGAAUUAAAU